RNAcentral lists this ribosomal RNA (316 nucleotides) under uncultured fungus. Its description in RNAcentral is "partial small subunit ribosomal RNA". It matches the Rfam family "Eukaryotic small subunit ribosomal RNA", at positions 119 to 432 of the family's 1831-position model. Lineage: Eukaryota; Fungi. The record is from RNAcentral.
GCUUGUCUCAAAGAUUAAGCCAUGGAUAACUGUGGUAAUUCUAGAGCUAAUACAUGCAUCAAGACCCAACUUCAUGGAAGGGUCGUGUUUAUUAGAUACAGAACCAACCCAGGCUUGUCCUGGUUUUGUGGUGAUUCAUGAUAACUGAAUGAACCGUAUGGCAUCCGCUGGCGAUAAAUCAUUCAAGUUUCUGACCUAUCAGCUUCCGACGGUAGGGUAUUGGCCUACCGUGGCAAUGACGGGUAACGGAGAAUUAGGGUUCGAUUCCGGAGAGGGAGCCUGAGAAACGGCUACCACAUCUAAGGAAGGCAGCAGG